This 534-nucleotide ribosomal RNA is filed under the name Triticum aestivum (bread wheat). Its description in RNAcentral is "partial small subunit ribosomal RNA". Lineage: Eukaryota; Viridiplantae; Streptophyta; Magnoliopsida; Poales; Poaceae. The record is from RNAcentral.
AUGGUGUUCAUUGACUUGGAGAAGGCCUAUGAUAAGAUACCGCAGAAUGUCAUGUGGUGGGCCUUGGAGAAACACAAAGUCCCAGCAAAGUACAUUACCCUCAUCAAGGACAUGUACAAUAAUGUUGUGACAAGUGUUCGAACAAGUGACGUCGACACCGAUGACUUCCCGAUUAAGAUAGGACUGCAUCAGGGGUCAGCUUUGAGCCCUUAUCUUUUUGCAUUGGUGAUGGAUGAGGUCACAAGGGGUAUACAAGGAGAUAUCCCAUGGUGUAUGCUCUUUGCGGAUGAUGUGGUGCUAGUUGAUGAUAGUCGGACGGGGGUAAAUAGGAAGUUAGAGUUAUGGAGACAAACCUUGGAAUCGAAAUGGUUUAGGCUUAGUAGAACUAAAACCGAGUACAUGAUGUGCGGUUUCAGUACUACUAGGUGUGAGGAGGAGAGGUUAGCCUUGAUGGCCAGGUGGUACCUCGGAAGGACACCUUUCGGUAUUUGGGGUCAAUGUUGCAGGAGGAUGGGGGUAUUGAUGAAGAUGUGA